GGGGUGAGGCUACGGUAUCAUUCAAGGGU
RNAcentral lists this non-coding RNA (29 nucleotides) under Homo sapiens (human). Lineage: Eukaryota; Metazoa; Chordata; Mammalia; Primates; Hominidae. The record is from RNAcentral.